RNAcentral lists this ribosomal RNA (279 nucleotides) under uncultured bacterium. Its description in RNAcentral is "partial 16S ribosomal RNA". It matches the Rfam family "Bacterial small subunit ribosomal RNA", at positions 506 to 784 of the family's 1533-position model. The record is from RNAcentral.
UGCCAGCCGCCGCGGUAAUACGGAGGGUGUAAACGUUGCUCGGAAUUACUGGGCGUAAAGCGUGCGUAGGCGGCGCAUUAAGUCGGAUGUGAAAGCCCUGGGCUUAACCUGGGAACGGCAUUCGAUACUGGUGCGCUAGAGUCUGAUAGAGGGUAGCGGAAUUCCGGGUGUGGCGGUGAAAUGCGUAGAGAUCCGGAGGAACAUCUGUGGCGAAGGCGGCUACCUGGAUUAAGACUGACGCUGAGGCACGAAAGCGUGGGGAGCAAACAGGAUUAGAUA